RNAcentral lists this small nuclear RNA (160 nucleotides) under Oryza punctata. RNAcentral's name for it is "U1 spliceosomal RNA". It matches the Rfam family "U1 spliceosomal RNA". Rfam says of the family: U1 is a small nuclear RNA (snRNA) component of the spliceosome (involved in pre-mRNA splicing). Its 5' end forms complementary base pairs with the 5' splice junction, thus defining the 5' donor site of an intron. Lineage: Eukaryota; Viridiplantae; Streptophyta; Magnoliopsida; Poales; Poaceae. The record is from Rfam by way of RNAcentral.
AUACUUACCUGGACGGGGUCGACGGCCGAUCAAGAAGGGCCGUGGCCUAGAUCAAUGGCUCACAUUGCACUUUGUGAGAGCGUUGGUUUACCAUCUCCCCAAGUGGGAGAGUGGACGUCAUAAUUUGUGAUAGAGGGGGUACGCGUUCGCGCGGCCCCUG